GGCGAACGGGUGAGUAACACGUGGGUGAUCUGCCCUGCACUUCGGGAUAAGCCUGGGAAACUGGGUCUAAUACCGGAUAGGAGCCAUUUUUAGUGUGAUGGUUGGAAAGUUCUUUCGGUGUAGGAUGAGCUCGCGGCCUAUCAGCUUGUUGGUGGGGUAAUGGCCUACCAAGGCGGCGACGGGUAGCCGGCCUGAGAGGGUGGACGGCCACAUUGGGACUGAGAUACGGCCCAG
Molecule: ribosomal RNA, 234 nt
Filed under: uncultured Actinomycetales bacterium
Lineage: Bacteria; Bacillati; Actinomycetota; Actinomycetes; Actinomycetales
Description: partial 16S ribosomal RNA
Rfam family: Bacterial small subunit ribosomal RNA
Source: RNAcentral